CCAACGUGGAUACCCCGGGAGGUCACUCUCCCCGGGCUCUGUCCAGGUGGCGAACGGGAGCGUAGGGCUCUGCCCGGUGAUGUACAGUCCCUUUCCACAACGUUGGAGAUGAAGCUGGGCCUUGAGUCUGCGCCUGCAUAUUCCUACGUUUUCUCAGAGUCCUGUGGACAAUGACUGAGGAGAAAAACCAUGCAGAAAACAGCU
RNAcentral lists this small nucleolar RNA (204 nucleotides) under Bos mutus (wild yak). Its description in RNAcentral is "Small nucleolar RNA SNORA73 family (ENSBMUG00000017810.1)". It matches the Rfam family "Small nucleolar RNA SNORA73 family". From Rfam's summary of the family: U17 (SNORA73A and SNORA73B) also known as E1 belongs to the H/ACA class of small nucleolar RNAs (snoRNAs). The record is from Rfam by way of RNAcentral. Lineage: Eukaryota; Metazoa; Chordata; Mammalia; Artiodactyla; Bovidae.